GCGGCGGAGACACGGAAAGGUCAAACGGGCGGCGAGCGCGGCGGGGCACGGCCGGGCACGGCCGCUCCGGCAGCCUCCGCGGGACCCGCCGGCCGGGCGGCGCAGCCCCUCGGUCCCCGCCGCCUCCCUGCACAGAUACAACAGGGUUCAGCCAAAUGCAGGGCUGCAGAUGUUCAGUGUUUCCCAGUGUUCUGAAGGCUGAGCUGGUGUCUGUGCCUUGUCCAAACUGCUCCGUUCUCCGCUCCGAGUGGCCAUGCUCUGCCUUUCAUGGGGACUUCCACAUGCAGAAAUCACAGCGUGAGUUUGCAGUUUUGGGUGAGUGGGGAGCUGUCUUGUGUACUCUUGAUAACUUCCAGGAAAGGCUCAGAUUUGUAGCUUCUGGAAAGUGCUUUUUGGCAACAGAAGAUGCCCUGCUGACCCUUUGCAGCUUGGCAGAAAAUGCUUCUCAGCAUAUGAGUUUCCAAACACCUCUCUGAGUACUUCUUGGGGUUUCUGGCACAGAGCAGGUUUUUUAGCUUUCACCAAAUUGUCUCCCUUCCCUAUAUCCUCAGUACAAGGCAAACAAAAUAGACAGACUUAAGGCAGACUUAUUAAAUAAGAUUGAAAUGGGCAACCAAAGGGUAAAAGCAGAAUAGAAAGAAAAUUGUGUUCCAGUUAUCACAUGGUGACACAUCUGGUUGUUCUUACCUAGAGUUCUAAAGCAGGUCUCUGCUUUAGGGCCUGACAAGACAGUAGUAGUCUCUCAUUAGUGUUAGAUUUAAGUAUUCAAAGGUAAAAUUACUCAGUUUUCCAUCACAUCUUCAAUUCUUUUACCUCAUCCUCACUAGGACUCUGGCUGGAGGUAGGCAGCUUUGUGUUGAAAGAGUUGCUUUUCCAUUUUGUCCAUAUUCAUUUUGCUGGCCUACUGGUUCAUGUUUGAUAUGCAUCAGUACUUUAAUGAACUUGCUUGCAACAUGCUCAUAUGAUUAGUAUAAUGUGUUUUGUUAACUCCAUGUUUUCUGAGAGUAUCUUGAGCAUUUUAUAGAGACCUCAUGUGAUAUAUUUUUAGCCCUGCUGAUAAACUUCAACAAAAUCAUCUGAUUAUGUACAGAUCAUGCUUGUAAAUAAAUAUUCUUUCUCAUUUUCUCCCUAGUCUGCUUCUUUUGUAGUUUUGCUUAUCUUAAAUUAUUGUUCAGUAAACUUACCCAGUAAAACUUUAACUUAAGAACAAUCAAUAUUUCACUCACAUGUAGAACGAUAAGUAAACACAUUUUUUCCUAUCAAAUUAGGUUAAGAUAAGAAAUACUACAGCUAACUAAUUUUUAAUAUUACUUUGACAGGUGUGUACUUUAUCUCAGUACAACAAAGGCAGUGUUCAGGAAUGUUGUCCUGGUGGUGGUUCUGUGAGCAUAACCCUUGGUUGUCCCUGUAGGUCAAGGACAAAUUUCACACAGCCCUUUGCAGUGGGAUAACUAAGCUGUCUGCUGACAGGAUCAGGUACUUUCAGGUCACUGGAACAUUGGGAAUGUUCUGGUAUCAGGGCAGCCAGUUUUUCUGCAACCUGCCUCUCAUCUGUUCUGAAUAUAUCAAGGGAGUAUUUCAAGGAAAUGCUAAGGGAGGUGAAGGUGACUUCUUGGGCUUUAUGAAGAUUGGUGUGCGUAUCUCUAGCAGAACAGAACCUGCAGUGUUCAGAUUUGACUCAGCUGUGAUACAAGACAGAUUCUUUAACAAGGAAAUCUGUGAUAUUUUCUUAAACUACUCAUCUGUCCAUUUUGACUCCCUUUCUGUUUUUGAUUACUCUAACUUGAAAAAAAGAGUUGUCACAUCUGAUCCAAUGAUUUUAAUAUUAUUAAUUACAAAAUAAAUGUAGUAGUUGAUAUCCUUAGAUAUUAUGUGAUUAGGCAUGAUUGUUUGGUCUUGCAUUCUUCACUUGAUUUCAGCUUGCAUGACUGCUUUGAGUUCAGAAACCUAAUUAAAAUUUUAUGAUGAGUUUUUUGCUUUGAAUAUGGUGACUGAAUUACUUGUCUUGAUAAACACACUAGUUAGAUCGGUCUGCUAAGCUGAUGUUUCAGUUAAGAGUCAGGUUUUGCCAAAUAUUAACUAGAAGCAGUAAAAUCUCAUCUAAGUUUAAUGAAUCUGUGCACUUAAACAUUCCUUGGUUCUAACAAACUGAUGGAAGCUGUGAUUCUGUAUGUUAAUGUGAAAUGCAUAUUGCAAGAUCAGGGAGAAGUCUGUUCCUCUUUUACGCAACACGAACUUCAGUAUGAUGCUCCUUCUUGUAGUUAAUAAUACCUGACUUCUUGCUUAUAUAGAAAUUAAAACAAGACCUUUAUUUGUGCAGCUUGAAUCACUGUAAUGUGUAAUACUACUUUUAAAUUUCUCCUGAGAGUAUUGGACAUCCCAGUGAAACCAAACCUCUGCUGCAAUUUUCAAAGACUGUUAAUAAUAAUUUUUUUUUGUUGGUGGUGGGGAGAAGGGGUAAGGUUUUCUUAAGUUGCCUGCUUUAAAUGAAGUGACUACGUGUUUUCUGUCAGUUUACUGAUACACUACAAAUAUAUCUUUUUAAUAGUUUAGACAGUUUAUAAUCUGCUGGUAACUUGAAUUAUGUGGCUGUUCGCUUCAGUCAUUUAUUCCUCCUCUGUAGAAUCGAGUUAUUUUAGCUGUCUGGUUAAUCUUUGAACAGAUGGGACUUGCAGAUCAUUGGAGGCUGAAGCACUGUGGUAUACAGGCUAUUGAUAACUCUGGUGUUUCCUGUCUUUCAAGCUACUGGUUUAAAUUGUAAAAUAUAAUUAGCUUGAGGUGUUGUACCUUUAAGUAAUGUUUCAGUUAAGUUGGUGUUGGCAAGAUUAAAUAUUAGCUUUCACUUGCGUACAGAGCUUGACAGAUUUUGCCAACUAUGAUUUUGUUUCUUGCAUUUAAGCGGAGCCUAGGGCAGCCGACUAUGGCUUUGUGCAAGAAUGGUGAGUUUUGGUGCUUGAGUUUAUUGUACACAAAUGACUGGAAGGCUGUGUUUGCAGCAUUUCCUUAAGUGUGCAUUUGUAGGCCCCACUGUACAGAUUAACUUUUAGCAAUUUUCACAAAACGUACUUGUUCUAGAAAUGCUGCUGACAAUUUCAAUCAUCAGCAGCAUUGAAAUCAUGAUGCUUUUUGCUCUAGCACCAGCUAUAUUUGAAUGCUUUACAUUCUGAAAGAAAGUUAAAGACUUUACAUGAAGUUGAUUUUUUUAAAUGGAAUUAAAUGCUCAGAGGAAUUUUUUGUGAUUUUUACAGCAUUUCUAUUGAGCUAAUAUGGUCUUGGCUCUUUCAAGAGGUGAAGUAAGUCUUAAGGACUAUUGCAUCCUUGCACUUCAAACCUCUUCCAGGGGGCAUUGUCUGGUUCAUGAACUGAGUAUGGCAGGAUUCCUAUGAAGAGCCAUAUGUUUAUUUUUCUAUUUUUGUAAAUAUUUUUCAUAUGAACGGGGCAGCUUUAAUUUUUUUUUUUUUGCUAAUUUGUUGUGGUUCAUGCCUAGCUUUAAUGAGCUUUAUUUCAGGCUCUUAUAUAUAAAAUAAAAUCUUUAGUGCAGAAAGUCCAGAUUUAAUGACAUUUUUGUGUGGGAGCUCUAUUCUUGGGCUUGGCUUGCAUCACUGAUGCUAAUUCUGCAGAGCUGUAUCCUUGACCUAAUGAAAUAACUGAUGCUCAUGUGUCAGCAGCACGCGUGUCAUUUCCAGUCAGUGAAGGAAGUUAGAACCACAUCCUUGGGUGGAGGUUUUCACAGAUAUUUUUUGGGAAUAUUUGUAUUCAGCAAUGUGUUAUACCAGGAAAGUCUUCAAGGAGAUUUUUGCCUGAGGUGCUUUAAGAGGCUUCUGACUACUCAGAAAGUUUUUUGUUUAUUCUUGUGUUCUUUUGGUUUGCCUUGACCUCCCCAAGGGCUGGGUGCUUUCGGGACUAACCUGCACUGUACCAAGUACUGGGAAGUGGGGCAUUGGGAACAGAAAACAGACUUGGGACUCCUUCCAGCAUUUAGGAGAAGUGAUUGCUGUGGAAUUGCUCAGCUGAUUUCCAUGGAGGUGGAGUCUGCUGACCGUGUUUGGCACAGAAGCCUGUGGGAAGAGCUCCAUGUUAAUGUGCAGUGUUAACAGAGGAGGCUGAAGGACAGUGUUCAGACUUGCAGUGGGGGUGAACUUCGAUGCGGAGAGUGAAAAGCAGCUUCAUGUUCUUCUGGUGAUUUUUUUUGUUUUCCAAAUGUCAGGUUCCUCUUGCAAGACAGGGAAGUAUUAAGGCUGCAUCUAAAUGGUUGCAAAGUUUAUACUACAUUUAAGGAAGUGUGGUUUUGCCAAAUUGAUUUUUUGUUGUUUAAUCUUUCUCUGAGAUCUGCAUCUUGAUCACAUUACUGUUCCCCACUCAAAAUGUUGUUACCAAA
This is a non-coding RNA of Taeniopygia guttata (zebra finch), 4378 nucleotides long. The record is from RefSeq and is a predicted model, not a curated record. NCBI's taxonomy places the organism in Eukaryota, Metazoa, Chordata, Aves, Passeriformes, Estrildidae.